GUGGGUUUUGAACUCGAUUACAGCUGGAGGAAUUCUAAACAGUCCACCUCUCCUUGUCGUGGUGUUUAAGUGUAUUGUGCUCCUGUCUGAACAGAGGAAAUCACUGAGAGGUCAAAGUCUACUGCAAACGGUGACUGAUACAAUCCCCCAUACCUCUAACCCAAAGUCUACUAUCAAGCUGUCUCGAGAGAGAGAAGUCUUUAAAGAGACCAGCUUUGUACCUAUAAAUAAUGUACACAGCAGAGUACAAAAAUGGAGUCAAGGAGAGGCUCCACCUUACCUGAAUGUAAUUGUGAAGGCCGGUAUUGUGAGCUCCAUGAGGAUAGCUGUACCCCUGGUGAAGCAGAAGGCUGCAAGAAGCACUGUCACCCCUGUCAUCCAUCUUGACUAAACUACUUGUGGGAUCUGAGUCUUGCUCCAACAUUGAACAUCAAACGGAAGAGACAACCCGCUGUCCUCUGUAUUUAGAUUUCUGGUAUAUGUGCAUGCAGAGCUGAUUUGUCCAUAAUUGUUUGCUUUCUUCAGAGUCUUUUGAAGUUUAUGUGUUCAAGCCAGUCCCUUAUAUUAAAUUCUUCCAAGCCACCAAUAAAAUGUCAACUGUGAUUAAAGCCUGACUCCUCAUUUUAAGACUUGUCUCCUAAGCAAUGUGAGGUCACUCUGUGAGUCAGCGUUUGAAAGGACCGUUAUUCCUGAGAGCAUGGGUAAAGCCCAAAGUUAUUAGUUGCUUGCUUAAAUGGUUUUGCUGCAUCUUAAAUUGCUUUGCAUUGUACUGAAAGAAGUGUAAACUGUGGAGCCAGUUUGGCACAGAACUCAUAUUUCAGGUAUGUCAGAUCUUGAAAAAAAUCCUCUAUAUUAACGUAGAAGUUGGCAUUUCUGGUAGGAAAAGUUUUACCUCCUAUGUAUUAAAGAGGAGGGUGGAGUGGGAAGCUGUGCUUGAGGCAUAAACUUUCAACUAUGUUCUGUUGAAAUAAAACUUGGGAACUGUAAAAUCUCUGGGCAAGGGCUCUGUCUUUUGUACAGUGCCCAGCAGAACUGAGCCAAAGGCUGAUAGGGCUUUCUGGACUUCAUUAAUUUUGUUUACUUUAUUAAAAAGCUAAAAAAAAAAUAGCAGGGCAUUAAAGCUGCAAGUGGAUGCCCUGAGAAGCAAGGAAAUAACUAUUUUUAAGAUAGUCUAUGCAGCCUGUUUAUUCUUUUUGUGCAUGUUAAUUAUAACAGUCUUUAAUUACAUGAUCAUGUUUUCUUCUGUCACUCUUCCUCCCUGUUUGAUGGGGUCCACACUGUGCGUAUUUGGAGGCAAUUAAUCAUGCCGGAGCAAUGAAUAACUCGGAGCAGGACUCUGCCUCCGACUCCAGCCUAUCUGCGUCAAUCUUGGGUCUCCCCAUCCCUCUCUCUGCCCUUUUCCUACCCUCCUGAUUAACUCCUGCCCUGGUUCCUCACUGCUCUGCAUUCAAACCAAACCCCUUUGUCUCGCGCUGUCCGUGGAGAACCCUUGGGUCUGUUUGCGCUCUGUCUCGGUAUCGAGGAGGGAAUGGGGAGCUGUUGGCCGGGAGAGGCAACCUGAGGGGAAAGUCCUGCUGGCCUUUUUUCCUCCUGCGGUGCAGCGUGCUCAGGCCUAGAGGCAGGCAUUCAGCUCAUUUUGCUGCCAAACACCUCACCGACCAUGCCGCAGCAAGGAUUAUCGGAGGUUUGAAAUGGUAUGAAAUCUGUUACGAGUUUUGCCAAGUUUCAGGUUGUUUCCCCCAUCCAUUCUC
Accipiter nisus (Eurasian sparrowhawk) is the source of this 1751-nucleotide long non-coding RNA. NCBI's taxonomy places the organism in Eukaryota, Metazoa, Chordata, Aves, Accipitriformes, Accipitridae. The record is from Ensembl.